ACACAUGAUGGAAAAGUCAGGGCAACAAAGGGCUAGGAAAACCAGGACAACCAGUUCCCCCAACUCCACCCUCCUCCCAAACACUUAUGGCAAGUAAUAUUCAAAGACAAGUACAAAUGUGAUUUUCAACCCAACUAGUGUUUCAACUCCACUAAAGCUCUGCCUUUGAACUUACAGGGCGUGCACCUUCUCAGCGGAACAGAAGGAGGCUGUGGGAAGAGCAUGAAAUGCAAGAGCAUCGUGGGAAAGACCAGAGUCACAAAUGCCAUGGCUCCUCCCCAAAACCCAUCCGGAAGACCUGAGUAAUGUUGCUAAGGAAACAGGCAUCACCUACCGUUAGGUCCAAGAGUCUAGCAAGGCUUUUCUCAGGAAAAAUAGAACAGCUACAAAACAGGAAUUGUCCUGUCUUCUGCAGGAGCCUAUUGCCCACACCCUGCUGGAUCAAGCUAUAAUGUCCUACUUUCUGAUCCCUGCUAGGGAGGGCCUGUGGAGCCUGAAACUCUGCAAGCUCAUAAGUGUUUGAAAGGUUAUUCCUCAAAUACUCUCCUCUGGAAGCUCUGUAGUUGAAGAGACUAACAUCAGGAAGGGAACUGAUUGCAGGUAACCCUCCCUUUCUCUUUUCAAAUUAUGACUGAUAGAAGGGAACAACUUUUUCUUAGGUUCAGAUACAAACUUCACAUUUCAGUAGUCACAUCCAAAGUUUAUUUGGCUUUUUGGUUUGCUUUAAAAACAAGAAACAUUUCUGGUGCCACAAACAUGAAAAAAGGUUCCUCACAAAAGGCAACAAACCCCAACGUGCCGCUAAAUAACGUGUUAUUGUAAAACAACUUCUGAUCUCCCACAGGUUUUUGAAAAACAGGCUGGUAUAUAGUUCCAUUUCUCUCAUCUUGAAAAUUACUGAACUAACCUCUGACUAGCCUAGAAUAAACUUCCACAGCAUGUGGUCAUCAUUUAAAUACUCCACUCAAGGUAUUUCAGUUCUCUUUAAUUUGCAUCACUUUUCAUGUAUUUUGACUUCAGCUUUCAGAGUUAGAACGCAGUGACAGGGAUCUUGCAAGCAAUUUGAAAGGUAUGCCAGAGUGCAGCCCUAUUUGAUUUGGAAGAAUGGACAAAUCUGUAAGGAACAAUCAGCUUCUUCCUAGUCCUAGGGGGUAAUUUUCUGUACAAGCUCACCGUUCUCAAUCAGGCACUGUGAAGUACACACUUAACUGGAACAGCCUCCAGUGCAGGGGACUGGCUGUUUUUCCUCCAGUCUCGCUCACUAACGGUUAAGAUUUUAAAGCUCUUAACCUUCAACAGAGAAAUUGCUUUGAAUUUCAUUAUAAGCAUCUUCUCAUUGACCAGUCUGAUUGCAGAGUCUUUAAAGGACACAAUCAAAAACAUCCCUGACCACAUAAUAAAUAAAGCCGACACAAUAAUAGGUCUUUCAGAAUUCUAUAGGAGAUGAGCAGUUGAUUCCUUCAAGCUGAGCAGAGAAGCAUGAAAUGAACUUCAGCUUGCAACAAACUAGGGAGACAUGUAAGAAAGAACAUGUCCCAUUUUCAUAUUACUUAAUACUGAGAUUGACAAGGCAUUGUAGCAACACAGAGGAAGAUCCUGCAAUGGAGGAAAGCCCUAAAUCUAAAGAGAUCCGGAGGCACCAAGUAUUUUAAGUGAUAACAAUUUUAGAGGUCUACACAUGCCAGAACGUAGUUUCUAUUCUAAAGCACUAUAAACAGUCUACUGUAACUCAGUGGAACAAAAUUCCAUUGAUUUUUUAGAAAAUAUACUUAAGAAAACUCUUAGAAAAAAAUAAGUAGAAAGCUUGCUACUAGCUCUAGUGAUAAACUUAUUAGUUUUCACUCUAUGCAAAGGAAAUGGAACAAUAUUAAGGUGAAUGAAUUUAGGUGUAGAUCAAAAAAUGAAGGAUUAUGCUGCCAGGGAGUGAAGGAUUAUCAUCACUUACCUCCCUCAUCCAGAAGCUUCCCACUCAGGGGCUGGGAUGUAUCUGAAGAGUAACAUGUAAUGGAAAUUUGUAGCAUUAAAUUAACUGCAGCUGAUUGGAAGCACCUGAUGGAGAAGAGGUGAGAAUACCUGCUGUUUUAGAAGUGUGAAUAGGAUAAUCCCCAAACCUGACUUUCUGGUCUUCUGCCCUGACAUUAACUAUUAAGGUUACAAUCUGUCUGAACACUGGAAAAAAUACU
This is a long non-coding RNA of Pezoporus flaviventris, 2183 nucleotides long. RefSeq lists it as uncharacterized. Lineage: Eukaryota; Metazoa; Chordata; Aves; Psittaciformes; Psittacidae. The record is from RefSeq and is a predicted model, not a curated record. The transcript has 3 exons.